UGUAAUUUUAAUUUUCUUAAA
This 21-nucleotide non-coding RNA is filed under the name Caenorhabditis elegans. The record is from RNAcentral. Lineage: Eukaryota; Metazoa; Nematoda; Chromadorea; Rhabditida; Rhabditidae.